This 404-nucleotide ribosomal RNA is filed under the name uncultured bacterium. RNAcentral's name for it is "bacterial SSU rRNA". It matches the Rfam family "Bacterial small subunit ribosomal RNA", at positions 355 to 776 of the family's 1533-position model. The record is from RNAcentral.
UGGGGAAUAUUGCACAAUGGGGGAAACCCUGAUGCAGCGACGCCGCGUGAGUGAAGAAAUAUUUCGGUAUGUAAAGCUCUAUCAGCAGGGAAGAAAAUGACGGUACCUGAGUAAGAAGCCCCGGCUAACUACGUGCCAGCAGCCGCGGUAAUACGUAGGGGGCAAGCGUUAUCCGGAUUUACUGGGUGUAAAGGGAGCGUAGACGGCAGCGCAAGUCUGAAGUGAAAUCCCACAGCUUAACUGUGGAACUGCUUUGGAAACUGAGCAGCUAGAGUGCAGGAGGGGCAGGCGGAAUUCCUAGUGUAGCGGUGAAAUGCGUAGAUAUUAGGAGGAACACCGGUGGCGAAGGCGGCCUGCUGGACUGUAACUGACGUUGAGGCUCGAAAGCGUGGGGAGCAAACAGG